RNAcentral lists this non-coding RNA (216 nucleotides) under Nocardia salmonicida. The record is from RNAcentral. Lineage: Bacteria; Bacillati; Actinomycetota; Actinomycetes; Mycobacteriales; Nocardiaceae.
CUGUCCAGUUGUGAUCUUGGUACAGUCGUCGAGCCGUGGUGUUCGGGAAAUCGGUGUGAAACCGGUGCGGCCCUCGCCACUGUGAUCGGGAGCGACGGAUCGAUCCGGCCGAGAAGAUGUCGGCCGGAGCCACUGGGGCACAGGUGCCCUGGGAAGGUGGAUCCGUCGCGUGACCAUCCCGUCAGCCAGGAGACCGGCCACGGCCCCGUAGUACCC